CCUACGGGUGGCAGCAGUGAGGAAUAUUGGUCAAUGGACGAGAGUCUGAACCAGCCAAGUAGCGUGAAGGAUGACUGCCCUAUGGGUUGUAAACUUCUUUUAUAUGGGAAUAAAAUGUUCCACGUGUGGGUUUUUGUAUGUACCAUAUGAAUAAGGAUCGGCUAACUCCGUGCCAGCAGCCGCGGUAAUACGGAGGAUCCGAGCGUUAUCCGGAUUUAUUGGGUUUAAAGGGGGCGUAGGUGGAUUGUUAAGUUAGUUGUGAAAGUUUGCGGCUCAACCGUAAAAUUGCAGUUGAAACUGGCAGUCUUGAGUACAGUAGAGGUAGGCGGAAUUCAUGGUGUAGCGGUGAAAUGCUUAGAUAUCACGAAGAACUCCGAUUGCGAAGGCAGCUCACUGGGCUGCAACUGACACUGAGGCUCGAAAGUGUGGGUAUCAAACAGGAUUAGAUACCCGAGUAGUC
RNAcentral lists this ribosomal RNA (460 nucleotides) under uncultured bacterium. RNAcentral's name for it is "partial 16S ribosomal RNA". It matches the Rfam family "Bacterial small subunit ribosomal RNA", at positions 338 to 795 of the family's 1533-position model. The record is from RNAcentral.